AAAUAGUUAACAUAAUUAAAUCUUAUCCAGUCAAAUUUCUAACUGGGGCUUCAAUGUGUUGUCGCUUCACGUCCUCUUCAGCAUUAUGACGGUAGCAGUUUCCAAGGGAAGCAAUUGAUUUCCUACUACCUUUUUCAAACAGUCCUUCACCUACAUUUUCUUUCAAUCUGGUUCUCUUGGUCUCCUCUCCUCUGAUGCUUGUCGAACAAAAUCUGGAAGCCCUCCUACCAGUAAAUGAUCGUUUUUGAUACAAGAAUCCGUCCUUUCUCAUCUUUUACAAACAAUCCUGAUGCUGAUCUGAAAGUCUGUUGAUCAAAGGCCGCGUCAAAGUAGAUUGUGACUCCCGAUCUUCUUCUUUCCUGUACAGCAUUUCCAGUGGACUGAACGCCAAAGGCCGCAGCAAAAAAGACGAA
This is a long non-coding RNA of Gossypium arboreum, 413 nucleotides long. RefSeq lists it as uncharacterized. The record is from RefSeq and is a predicted model, not a curated record. The transcript has 3 exons. NCBI's taxonomy places the organism in Eukaryota, Viridiplantae, Streptophyta, Magnoliopsida, Malvales, Malvaceae.